AAGUAAUCAUUGUGCUUGUGUGCAUGGUGGAGUUAUACCUGUUUGGUUUGUCUUAAGAGGACACUUUGCUUCUUAAAAGGACAAAAUGCGUCUAGCAUUAUGAGAUUGAGCAAUAACAGGUCUGUGAUGCCCUUAGAUGUCCUGGGCUGCACGCGCGCUACAAUGAAGGUAUCAAUGUGUUUUAUCCUUGACCGAGAGGUAUGGGUAAACAUUGAACCACCUUCUUGGUUGGGAUUGUGGACUGUAACUGUUCACAUGAACCCGGAAUUCCCAGUAAGUGUGAGUCAUAAGCUUGCAUUGAUUACGUCCCUGCCCUUUGUACACACCGCCCGUCGCUACUACUGAUGAAUUGUUUAGUGAGGUCUCUGGACGUGUGCGCCGAAAUACUCUUGUAGUA
RNAcentral lists this ribosomal RNA (397 nucleotides) under Lutzomyia gomezi. Its description in RNAcentral is "partial 18S ribosomal RNA". It matches the Rfam family "Eukaryotic small subunit ribosomal RNA", at positions 1356 to 1738 of the family's 1831-position model. Lineage: Eukaryota; Metazoa; Arthropoda; Insecta; Diptera; Psychodidae. The record is from RNAcentral.